AUUGAACGCUGGCGGCAGGCCUAACACAUGCAAGUCGAGCGGAUGAAGGGAGCUUGCUCCUGGAUUCAGCGGCGGACGGGUGAGUAAUGCCUAGGAAUCUGCCUGGUAGUGGGGGAUAACGUCCGGAAACGGGCGCUAAUACCGCAUACGUCCUGAGGGAGAAAGUGGGGGAUCUUCGGACCUCACGCUAUCAGAUGAGCCUAGGUCGGAUUAGCUAGUUGGUGGGGUAAAGGCCUACCAAGGCGACGUUCCGUAACUGGUCUGAGAGGAUGAUCAGUCACACUGGAACUGAGACACGGUCCAGACUCCUACGGGAGGCAGCAGUGGGGAAUAUUGGACAAUGGGCGAAAGCCUGAUCCAGCCAUGCCGCGUGUGUGAAGAAGGUCCUCGGAUUGUAAAGCACUUUAAGUUGGGAGGAAGGGCAGUAAGUUAAUACCUUGCUGUUUUGACGUUACCAACAGAAUAAGCACCGGCUAACUUCGUG
RNAcentral lists this ribosomal RNA (484 nucleotides) under uncultured bacterium. RNAcentral describes it as "partial 16S ribosomal RNA". It matches the Rfam family "Bacterial small subunit ribosomal RNA", at positions 30 to 507 of the family's 1533-position model. The record is from RNAcentral.